CAGCCCUCUUUCCUGCACCUGUUCUUGGGAUUUUUCUUGGUUUUUCUCCAAGGCUGUCCUAGAAAUCACUCUGAUCUAGAAGAUGAGUCAAUAUGUACAUUGGGAAGAAGCAGAAUGUGGUAUACUGGGAAGGCACAGACUACUUAGAAGAGCAAUCACAAGGAAUCAGAAAAGUCUUCAGGAAAGACAUGUGGACAGGACCUUCAAUGUCAGUUCAUGCUGGGGCUGGGCAUUUGAGAAACAAUAUAGUUUCCAGCAAGGGGGAUUCUAAAGGACCCUUGUUUCCUUUGAUGGUCACUGUGGAAUCUCCCUUCAAAACUGCAAGGGCAUUGCUGAUAGAGAACCUAAACACAUUCUAUGAUGAGUGUGAUUGAGUGCUACAGCUCAUGAACACAUGGUUCUUCUCUACUAUGUCUCUGAAGCCAAUACUGUCAUUUUUUUCUAAUGCUGGGGAUGGAACCCCAGGAUCUCAUAUGCACUAUGCAAAUGCUUCUUCACAGGCUACACUUUUGAAA
RNAcentral lists this long non-coding RNA (515 nucleotides) under Mus pahari (shrew mouse). RNAcentral's name for it is "predicted gene, 44079 (MGP_PahariEiJ_G0002992.1)". Lineage: Eukaryota; Metazoa; Chordata; Mammalia; Rodentia; Muridae. The record is from RNAcentral.